GGUUCGAUUAUGAAGCUCAGAUUGAAUGCUGGCGGGAUGCUUUACACAUGCAAGUCGAACGGCACGGACUUCGGUCUGGUGGCGAGUGGCGAACGGGUGAGUAAUGUAUCGGAACGUGCCGCAGAAGUGGAUAACUACGCGAAAGCGUAGCCGACAUCGCACACGGCCCUUCGGGGGAAAGCGGGGAUCUUCGGGCCUCUGCACUAUUAGAGCGGCCGAUAUCGGAUUAGCGAAGUUGGUGGGGUAAAUGGCUCACCACAGCGACGAUCCGUGCCUGGUUUGAGGGACGACCAGCCACACUGGGACUGAGACAUGGCCUGACUCCUACGGGAGGCAGCAGUGGGGAAUUUUGGACAAUGGGGAAACCCUGAUCCAGCCAUCCCGCGUAUGCGAUGAAGGCCUUCAUGGGCUAAAGCACUUUGGCAGAAAGAAAUGGCACGGAUAAUACCCCGUGCAACUGAUUUACACCUGAGAAUAAGCACCGGCUAACUACGUGCCAACAGCCGCGGUAAUACGUAGGGUGCAAGCGUUAAUCGGAAUUACUGGGCGUAAAGCGUGCGGUGCGGUUCGGAAAGAAAGAUGUGAAAACCAGAGCUUAACUGGAACUGUUUAUCUACCGAGCUAGAGGUAAUGAGGGAGGUAACCGUGUGGGCAGCAGAAACGCAGAUAUGCGGAGGAACACCGAUGGCGAAGGCAGCCUCCUGGGAUAACACUGAUUGCUGCACGAAAGCGGGGAACAAACAGGAUUAAUUUCGGUAGUCCACGCUUCAAACGAUGUCAAUUGGCCGUUGGGGCCUUUCGGCUCGUAAAGCAGCUUAACGCGUGGGGUUGACCGCCUGGGGAGUACGGUCGCAAGAUUAAACCAAGAAUGACGGACUGCACAAGCGUGAUGAUGUGGAUUAAUUCAAGAUGCAAACGCCGAAAACCUUACCUACCCUUGACAUGUCUGGAAUCCCGAAGAGAUUUGGGAGUGCUCGCAAGAGAACCGGAACACAGGUGCUAUGGCUGUCGUCAGCUCGUGUCGUGAGAUGUUGUUAAGUCCCGCAUCGAGCGCAAACCUUGUCAUUAGUUGCUGCCGAAAGGGCACUCUAAUGAGACUGCCGGUGACAAACCGGAGGAAGGUGGGGAUGACGUCAAGUCCUCAUGGCCCUUAUGGGUAGGGCUUCACACGUCAUACAAUGGUCGGGACAGAGGGUCGCCAACCCGCGAGGGGGAGCCAAUCCCAGAAACCUGAUCGCGUCCGGAUCGCAGUCUGCAACUCGACUGCGUGAAGUCGGAAUCGUCAGUAAUCGCGGAUCAGCAUGUCGCGGUGAAUACGUUCUGGGUCUUGUACACACCGCCCGUCACACCAUGGGAGUGGGUUUUACCAGAAGUAGUUAGCCUAACCGUAAGGAGGGCGAUUACCACGGUAGGAUUCAUGAUUGGGGUGGGUUGCAACAAGGUAA
Molecule: ribosomal RNA, 1445 nt
Filed under: uncultured Bordetella sp.
Lineage: Bacteria; Pseudomonadati; Pseudomonadota; Betaproteobacteria; Burkholderiales; Alcaligenaceae
Description: partial 16S-23S ribosomal RNA intergenic spacer
Rfam family: Bacterial small subunit ribosomal RNA
Source: RNAcentral